UACGUAGGGGGCUAGCGUUGUCCGGAAUCAUUGGGCGUAAAGCGCGUGUAGGCGGCCCGGUAAGUCCGCUGUGAAAGUCGGGGGCUCAACCCUCGAAAGCCGGUGGAUACUGUCGGGCUAGAGUACGGAAGAGGCGAGUGGAAUUCCUGGUGUAGCGGUGGAAUGCGCAGAUAUCAGGAGGAACACCAAUAGCGAAGGCAGCUCGCUGGGACGUUACUGACACUAAGGCGCGAAAGCGUGGGGAGCGAACAGG
This 253-nucleotide ribosomal RNA is filed under the name uncultured bacterium. RNAcentral describes it as "partial 16S ribosomal RNA". It matches the Rfam family "Bacterial small subunit ribosomal RNA", at positions 524 to 776 of the family's 1533-position model. The record is from RNAcentral.